RNAcentral lists this ribosomal RNA (467 nucleotides) under uncultured bacterium. RNAcentral describes it as "partial 16S ribosomal RNA". It matches the Rfam family "Bacterial small subunit ribosomal RNA", at positions 28 to 507 of the family's 1533-position model. The record is from RNAcentral.
GAUGAACGCUGGCGGCGUGCUUAACACAUGCAAGUCGAACGGAAAGGCUCCUGCUUGCCGGGGUACUCGAGUGGCGAACGGGUGAGUAACACGUGGGUGAUCUGCCCUGCACUUCGGGAUAAGCCUGGGAAACUGGGUCUAAUACCGGAUAGGACCACAUUUUGGAUGGUGUGGUGGAGAGUUUUUCGGUGUGGGAUGUGCUCGCGGCGUAUCAGCUUGCUGGUGGGGUAAUGGCCUACCAAGGCGUCGACGGGUAGCCGGCCUGAGAGAGUGUACGGCCACAUUGGGACUGAGAGACGGGCCAGACUCCGACGUGUGGCAGCAGUGGGGAAUAUUGCACAAUGGGAGCAAGCCUGAGGCAGCGAGGCCGCGUGGGGGAUGAAGGCCUUCGGGUUGUAAACUCCUUUCGCUAGGGACGAAGCGUUUUUGUGACGGUACCUGGAGAAGAAGCACCGGCUAACUACGUG